Molecule: ribosomal RNA, 464 nt
Filed under: uncultured bacterium
Lineage: Bacteria
Description: partial 16S ribosomal RNA
Rfam family: Bacterial small subunit ribosomal RNA
Source: RNAcentral
CUACGGGGUGCUCCAGUGGGGAAUAUUGCACAAUGGGCGCAAGCCUGAUGCAGCCAUGCCGCGUGUAUGAAGAAGGCCUUCGGGUUGUAAAGUACUUUCAGCGGGGAGGAAGGGAGUAAAGUUAAUACCUUUGCUCAUUGACGUUACCCGCAGAAGAAGCACCGGCUAACUCCGUGCCAGCAGCCGCGGUAAUACGGAGGGUGCAAGCGUGUAAUCGGAAUUACUGGGCGUAAAGCGCACGCAGGCGGUUUGUUAAGUCAGAUGUGAAAUCCCCGGGCUCAACCUGGGAACUGCAUCUGAUAGGGCAAGGCUGGAGGCUCGUAGAGGGGGGUAGAAUUCCAGGUGUAGCGGUGAAAUGCGAGGAGAUCUGGAGGAAUACCGGUGGCGAGGGGGGCCCCCGGAACGAAGCCUAACGUUAAGGUGCGAAACCUUGGGAAGCAACCAGGAUAGAUACCCUUGUAGUC